AAGCGAUGUCAGCAUUGCUGCUCUAGUCAAGUUCCUUGGAAAAGGACAGCAUGGAGGGUUAUACUCCCGUCAUUGCUGGAGCAUGCUGUGUGUACGACACGUUUUCUUUGAGUCGCGUUGUUUGGGAAUGCAGCGCAAAGUAGGUGGUAAAUUCCAUCUAAAGCUAAAUAUAAGUGCGAGACCGAUAGCGAACAAGUACCGUGAGGGAAAGAUGAAAAGAACUUUGAAAAGAGAGUUAAAGAGUACCUGAAACUGCUGAAAGGGAAGCGAAUCGUAUCCAGUGUCUAUAAUCCGCAACAUAUUACAAUGAUGUGUCUUUGCUUUCCGCGUGUAGGUAGUAGCCUUGGUUGCACCUUGCGUGGAUUGGUUGAGACAUAUCGUUGCCCUGUGUUGUGGUGGGACGUCAAAGUCAGUUUGUAC
Molecule: ribosomal RNA, 420 nt
Filed under: Albugo candida
Lineage: Eukaryota; Oomycota; Peronosporomycetes; Albuginales; Albuginaceae
Description: LSU rRNA
Rfam family: Eukaryotic large subunit ribosomal RNA
Source: RNAcentral